CCACAGUAGAAAUCGCCCUAGUUUUCUCUGAAGAGUGGUACGAUUUGGGAAGUGAGCAGGCAGGGGGCAGAGUGUGAGCAACAUGAAUUUGAUGGGGAUGGAGCGGAAGCAUAGUAAUAUCUAGCACAUAGGGAAGGAGUGUUGGGAUUAGGAGAUUUACUCGGAUCCUACAUAAAUAUUGUUCAAAUAAAUGGCCGGGAUGCAUCGUGCAUCUGUCGAUGCAUGCUCUAGUAGAAAUGACUAGUUUGCUAACUAGCCUGGUGCUAUACUUGUAAGCUAUAAUGUACUACUACUAAGGAAUAAAUGGAACCUGGUUCUCCUUGUGCUCUUAA
Non-coding RNA from Lolium perenne, 332 nucleotides. NCBI's taxonomy places the organism in Eukaryota, Viridiplantae, Streptophyta, Magnoliopsida, Poales, Poaceae. The record is from RefSeq and is a predicted model, not a curated record.